Molecule: long non-coding RNA, 1987 nt
Organism: Pistacia vera
Lineage: Eukaryota; Viridiplantae; Streptophyta; Magnoliopsida; Sapindales; Anacardiaceae
Exons: 5
Source: RefSeq, a predicted model, not a curated record
CCCAUCUUUCAUUAGGCCAAAGCUAUGGUUAUAAACUAUUAGAAUAACCCAUUUCUUCUGCCCAAAAUUCGAGCGCCCAAAAAACCCAUUCUUCCGCCCAAAAACGAGAAACAUUUCCCUCUCUUCCGCCCAAAAUCUCUCUUUGUCGCUCUUCCACUGAUUCGCAGAAGUUUCUCGUUGCGACAAUCAAUCUUCUUCUCAAAUCUUCUAAUUGCUCUUUUCUUCUCAAUCUUCUUCUGGUUGGGAUUCUUCUAAUUGCUCUGUCCUUCUCAAUCUUCUUCUCUUUGCGAUUAGGGCAAAAGGUUGAAUGGAUUAAUCAAUCUGGGCUGUUGAAGAGAAGAAAGGUUUUGUGAAGGGAGAGUUACGGCAUUUCGGUCAUUGUGAAGCUGAUCUGUGUGGGAACAAUGAAUCUUCAGAUUGUGUGGAAACUAUUGAUAAAAAAUGUGGUGGAUGAUGAGUAAUGAAGGUGGCCAUUACUGUUCGAAAACGAGUGAUGAUAUUUGCUAUGAUGUUUGUGGCUAGCUUUGGAUGAUUUUUUGGAUUCAAGUUUUGGGUGAUUAUUGUUCUUUGAAAAAGAUAAAUAAAUAAAUAAAUUUAAGGAGUUUCCAGAAAUCCGUAAACCUCAGUGAAGGUUUUGGAUGGUACACUUUGAGAUAUCAAUGUGAUAAAUACCAGAAUGCCCAGAACCAUAUAAUAUGGUUUAUUCAUCAAAAACCCUCCAAUAUUGUGGUAAUUUUUUUCUUUCUAAAGCCCAUCAGAAAAGGACCGUCUUGGCUGGCAGUCUCCUCACUUCGACACGGUAGCUCUCUGCAAAAACCCAUGUAGAAGGAACUGUUUUAUGCACAACCCUUUUGUUUGUUUGUUUUUUUUCCCUUUGUCUUCGAAGGAGUGUCAUUGCAAACCAUAAAGGCUCUUUUUCCGUGUUAUGUCAUGGUCUGGUUGCUCUAAAUUUAUGGCAUAUUUGCAGUCUUGGCAUUUCCGAGUCCAUUCCUUUUGGAGAAAUUUUAAUUGCUUUGGUAAAGACUUCACAAGGCCUCAUAGAGUUCAAAACAACUUGUCUUCUAUCAAGAGUCUUGAUCUAAUUCAUCUUUUAUCCUUUCAAUCCGUGAAGGGCUAUUGUAGUCUAUCUACAGAUUCAAGUUUGACUUUUUGGAUGAUUUUUUGUUGCUGUUAGUUUGGGACAAAAAAUCAUGUUGAAUGUGCUCAUUGUUCUCCAGAUGUGUAGCUUCUUAUUCUUUCUCGUUUGAUGGAUUUAUUGAGGUAUUUAUGAGCAAAUAUUAUUUUCUACAGAUUUCUACAACUCAAGUGUUUGUUGGAUCUUACCAUGUCAUCUUUCUUUGCAAAAUUAAAAAAGCUCAGCCUUCAGUUAAAGCAUUAGUACUGUUGUUACUAAGGAGGAAUCAUAUGCUACACAAGAAAUUCAAAAUAAGAUUAAACAGGUGGAGGAGCAGAGUUAAGGUGCAUAGUGCAACAACAACAAAAUAAGAUUAAACAGAUGGAGGAGCAGCUCAUCUUAUUUGAUCAACAAAAACAGAAAAUAAAAAUGCUUGAAGAACAGCAUUUUCAAAUGUUGGAGAUGCUAAAGCAGAUCACUAUAGCAGCUGCACAUUUCCAACGAGCUAGAGCUCCAACUGGACUGCCAUUGCCAUCUCCAAUUGAUGAAACGUCUUCCUCGUCUGCUACAGCUAUUUGAUGAACCUCAACUAGUGACACUUGAGAUGCUAACAAUAUUAAUGGUUAGUUUUUUUGUUACAUGGGUAGCAUAUAUUUUGACAUGGGGGUAGGACCAUCUUUUUGGACUUUUUAGGAUUGCUUGCAUAUAUCCUUUUAGAUGGUGUACAUGGGGUGGGCAUUUUGUUUGUUAGUUAUGCACAGAUAGAUAGCCACUGAUGAAAAUGUGGGGUGCAUGCUUUAUUUUUUUGGUUAUGCACAUAAAAGAAUAGUGCAUUUUGGAUUUUUAUUGCUCAUCAUGCAUAAAAAUCCAUGU